UUAAUUGAAGAGUUUGAUCAUGGCUCAGAUUGAACGCUGGCGGCAGGCCUAACACAUGCAAGUCGAGCGGUAACAGAGAGUAGCUUGCUACUUUGCUGACGAGCGGCGGACGGGUGAGUAAUGCUUGGGAACAUGCCUUGAGGUGGGGGACAACAGUUGGAAACGACUGCUAAUACCGCAUAAUGUCUACGGACCAAAGGGGGCUUCGGCUCUCGCCUUUAGAUUGGCCCAAGUGGGAUUAGCUAGUUGGUGAGGUAAUGGCUCACCAAGGCGACGAUCCCUAGCUGGUUUGAGAGGAUGAUCAGCCACACUGGGACUGAGACACGGCCCAGACUCCUACGGGAGGCAGCAGUGGGGAAUAUUGCACAAUGGGCGCAAGCCUGAUGCAGCCAUGCCGCGUGUGUGAAGAAGGCCUUCGGGUUGUAAAGCACUUUCAGUCAGGAGGAAAGGUUAGUAGUUAAUACCUGCUAGCUGUGA
Molecule: ribosomal RNA, 477 nt
Rfam family: Bacterial small subunit ribosomal RNA